RNAcentral lists this ribosomal RNA (389 nucleotides) under uncultured bacterium. RNAcentral describes it as "bacterial SSU rRNA". It matches the Rfam family "Bacterial small subunit ribosomal RNA", at positions 28 to 416 of the family's 1533-position model. The record is from RNAcentral.
GACGAACGCUGGCGGCGUGCUUAACACAUGCAAGUCGAGCGGUAAGGCCCUUUCGGGGGUACACGAGCGGCGAACGGGUGAGUAACACGUGGGUGGCCUGCCCUCAGCUCUGGGAUAAGCCUGGGAAACUGGGUCUAAUACUGGAUAUGACUCCACGGUGCAUGUCGUGGGGUGGAAAGCCUUGUGCGGCUGAGGAUGGGCCCGCGGCCUAUCAGCUUGUUGGUGGGGUGAUGGCCUACCAAGGCGACGACGGGUAGCCGGCCUGAGAGGGCGACCGGCCACACUGGGACUGAGACACGGCCCAGACUCCUACGGGAGGCAGCAGUGGGGAAUCUUGCGCCAAUGGGGCGAAAGCCUGACGCAGCGACGCCGCGUGAGGGAUGACGGCC